This 693-nucleotide ribosomal RNA is filed under the name Silvania hatchlandensis. RNAcentral's name for it is "partial 23S ribosomal RNA". It matches the Rfam family "Bacterial large subunit ribosomal RNA", at positions 2238 to 2925 of the family's 2925-position model. The record is from RNAcentral. Lineage: Bacteria; Pseudomonadati; Pseudomonadota; Gammaproteobacteria; Enterobacterales; Enterobacteriaceae.
AUCCGGGUUGCGGACAGUGUCUGGUGGGUAGUUUGACUGGGGCGGUCUCCUCCUAAAGAGUAACGGAGGAGCACGAAGGUUAGCUAAUCCUGGUCGGACAUCAGGAGGUUAGUGCAAUGGCAUAAGCUAGCUUGACUGCGAGAGUGACGGCUCGAGCAGGUGCGAAAGCAGGUCAUAGUGAUCCGGUGGUUCUGAAUGGAAGGGCCAUCGCUCAACGGAUAAAAGGUACUCCGGGGAUAACAGGCUGAUACCGCCCAAGAGUUCAUAUCGACGGCGGUGUUUGGCACCUCGAUGUCGGCUCAUCACAUCCUGGGGCUGAAGUAGGUCCCAAGGGUACGGCUGUUCGCCGUUUAAAGUGGUACGCGAGCUGGGUUUAGAACGUCGUGAGACAGUUCGGUCCCUAUCUGCCGUGGGCGCUGGAGAAUUGAGGGGGGCUGCUCCUAGUACGAGAGGACCGGAGUGGACGCAUCACUGGUGUUCGGGUUGUCAUGCCAAUGGCAUUGCCCGGUAGCUAAAUGCGGAAAAGAUAAGUGCUGAAAGCAUCUAAGCACGAAACUUGCCCCGAGAUGAGUUCUCCCUGACUCCUUGAGAGUCCUGAAGGAACGUUGAAGACGACGACGUUGAUAGGUCGGGUGUGUAAGCGUAGCGAUACGUUGAGCUAACCGAUACUAAUGAACCGUGAGGCUUAACCUU